This is a non-coding RNA of Acanthosepion pharaonis, 110 nucleotides long. Lineage: Eukaryota; Metazoa; Mollusca; Cephalopoda; Sepiida; Sepiidae. The record is from the annotation of a GenBank genome assembly.
UAUGGUCAUAUCGCAUUGAAACACCAGUUCUCAUACAAUCACAUAAGUUAAGCAACAUUGAGCCUGGUCAGUACCUAGAUGGGUGACUGCUUGGGAAUACCAGCUGCUAU